AUGGCCCUGUUUGAGGAAUUCUUCAUCGGGACCAUCGACCUCACUAGACUUAACUUCGGGAUCAUCACCCUCAUCCCCAAAGUCACCGGGGCCUCGGAUAUUCGCCAGUUUAGGCCGAUCACCGUCAUUAAUGUCAUCUUCCGCAUCCUCGCGAAGGGGUACGCCAUUAGGGUGGCCCCUAUUGCUGAUAGGAUCACUCACCCUGAUCAGUCGACAUUUAUUCAGGGCCGGUAUAUCCUUGACGGAGUCCUGGUUUUCCACGAAGCUGUAACACCCCGGAUGUAA
RNAcentral lists this ribosomal RNA (285 nucleotides) under Triticum aestivum (bread wheat). RNAcentral describes it as "partial small subunit ribosomal RNA". Lineage: Eukaryota; Viridiplantae; Streptophyta; Magnoliopsida; Poales; Poaceae. The record is from RNAcentral.